CAAUAUUGAAACACCGGUUCUCGUACGAUCACAGAAGUUAAGAAACGUCAAGCCUGGUUAGUAUCUAGAUGGGUGAUAGUUUAGGAAUACCAGCUACUGU
Molecule: non-coding RNA, 100 nt
Organism: Acanthosepion pharaonis
Lineage: Eukaryota; Metazoa; Mollusca; Cephalopoda; Sepiida; Sepiidae
Source: the annotation of a GenBank genome assembly